AGUGGUGUAGCUUAGUGGUAGAGCAGCUGUCUUGGAUGUGCAAGGGCCUGGAUUUGAGCCCCAGCACCACAA
RNAcentral lists this transfer RNA (72 nucleotides) under Heterocephalus glaber (naked mole-rat). It matches the Rfam family "tRNA". Rfam says of the family: Transfer RNA (tRNA) molecules are approximately 80 nucleotides in length. Lineage: Eukaryota; Metazoa; Chordata; Mammalia; Rodentia; Bathyergidae. The record is from Rfam by way of RNAcentral.